GAUGAAGAACGCAGCGAAAUGCGAUAAGUAGUGUGAAUUGCAGAAUUCCGUGAAUCAUCGAAUCUUUGAACGCACAUUGCGCCUUCUGGUAUUCCGGAAGGCAUGCCUGUUCGAGAGUCAUUAACAACCGUUUCGAUCCCUUUCUUUCAGAAAUUACAAAGAGGAAAAGGGUUUGGUUAUGGUGGAGGAGGGAAAGGGAGCGUUUAGCCUGUAAAAAAAGAGGCUGUGUUCCGCCUCCCCCCCAAAAUUGUACAGGCGGUCGUGUGCGCCCACGCAUCGAGGUGUUGUAAAAGCUGCCACGGCACUUUUCACCUGUGCAGUGCGAGAUUGGCCAGCCGGUUUAAAAACCCCUCCAAACAAUCAAAGGUUGACCUCGGAUCAGGUAGGGAUACCCGCUGAACUUAAGCAUAUCAAUGAGCGGAGGA
RNAcentral lists this unclassified non-coding RNA (425 nucleotides) under soil metagenome. RNAcentral describes it as "partial contains 5.8S ribosomal RNA, internal transcribed spacer 2, and large subunit ribosomal RNA". The stretch from base 1 to 120 matches the Rfam family "5.8S ribosomal RNA", at positions 35 to 154 of the family's 154-position model. The record is from RNAcentral.